This is a long non-coding RNA of Varroa destructor (honeybee mite), 504 nucleotides long. NCBI's taxonomy places the organism in Eukaryota, Metazoa, Arthropoda, Arachnida, Mesostigmata, Varroidae. The record is from RefSeq and is a predicted model, not a curated record.
GGCCACUGUAAAACUGCGCGAUCCUAAUCUCGACCCAUAGGACGCUUUAGGUUCUAACCGGCGUUCGCUAGAAAGAUUUCGAAUUAAUCUACAUCUAAAUAAGCUAAGUAGCAAUAUUAGGCCACCGCUCGUGUUUUCAUUGAAUUUUUCAAAGAAGCCAACGUUUCUGUCCGAGCUUGAAGCUAAACGUGCCAGCUACUAGUAAUAUCUUAGCUGAAUUUAACUCGUACUACGAAGGAGCAUACUGCAAUGUCAAAUCACCGUUCACACUACUCAAGUCGGAACGAUUGGGCGAAAGAACGAAGUACUAUCAUUGCAUUGAUGGGGCUAUGGUCGCGGUUAUCUGUCCUACAGAUAAACCCGCGCUACAGGACAUGUGCGAUGGCUAUGCGAAACACUGCUGGCGGUAUUUGGCCUUUGAUAGGAGCAUGACCCACGAACAGAUCAACAAUAAUGCCUAUGACUACUACACAUGCCUUGGAAAGAUCCCGCAGGGGUCCUAGG